ACACGGAAGAGGUGGACAUCAGCAAGAAGACUGCCGUGGACGUGCGACUACCGUUCUUCCAGACGGUCCACUCCACCACGCAGUUCUUCAUUGCCCUUGCCUCGGAAAUGUGCGCCCGCACGAACGUGACCAUCGCCAGCCUCCUGAACAAGGCGUUGGGAGCGAAGACAGCCGAGCAGAGGAUGGAGAUGCUGGCCACCCACAUGCCGCAGUACACGGAGCACUUUGGUUGCACUGGAUCGCAGAGGAUGCGGGUCAGCAACCGCUACAUGCAAUGCCUCUUUUGGAACCGCUGACUUCGUUAAUAUACAAGUGUGUACGUUUAAUGAGAAUG
This is a long non-coding RNA of Rhipicephalus sanguineus (brown dog tick), 334 nucleotides long. RefSeq lists it as uncharacterized. The transcript has 3 exons. The record is from RefSeq and is a predicted model, not a curated record. Lineage: Eukaryota; Metazoa; Arthropoda; Arachnida; Ixodida; Ixodidae.